GAUCAACGGUUCUAUGAUUGAAAACGUUAUAAGGGGGGACAAUUGGCCGUCUGUAUUUAUAUAGAUUGGACAAGGGAUGCUUUCUAAUGCAGGCACGGUUGUGCUAUCGCUUCAUGGUAGACUUGAGCAUUUUGCAGCUUUUGAUGUCGAAUUGUUUGCCGCCAUACUUCUUUUUCAUGUCGCACUUGAUUCUCUGUAUGGUGGCGCCUUUCCUGAGGUCAUUCUUAAGCGCAUGCUCUACGUCUACCAAAAGCGAGAAGUAUGCCAACUUUGCUGCAGGAGCAGAAGCUUUGGCAAUCGAUGAUGCUCGUGCUAUUUUUCCCCUUAAUUUCUU
RNAcentral lists this long non-coding RNA (334 nucleotides) under Physcomitrium patens. RNAcentral describes it as "long non-coding RNA (PPAT_LNC005270)". Lineage: Eukaryota; Viridiplantae; Streptophyta; Bryopsida; Funariales; Funariaceae. The record is from RNAcentral.